Molecule: unclassified non-coding RNA, 67 nt
Filed under: Treponema berlinense
Lineage: Bacteria; Pseudomonadati; Spirochaetota; Spirochaetia; Treponematales; Treponemataceae
Description: Flavo-1 RNA
Source: RNAcentral
ACAUAGCCCGGAUCGCCACGGAAAGACCGCAGCGAAGCGAGGACUUGAAGUAAGAGCCGGAAAUUCC